RNAcentral lists this ribosomal RNA (208 nucleotides) under uncultured bacterium. RNAcentral describes it as "partial 16S ribosomal RNA". It matches the Rfam family "Bacterial small subunit ribosomal RNA", at positions 567 to 775 of the family's 1533-position model. The record is from RNAcentral.
GCGCGUAGGCGGAUAGUUCAGUUGGGGUGAAAGCCCGGGGCUCAACCUCGGAACUGCCUUCAAUACUGGCUAUCUUGAGUACGGGAGAGGUGUGUGGAACUCCGAGUGUAGAGGUGAAAUUCGUAGAUAUUCGGAAGAACACCAGUGGCGAAGGCGACACACUGGCCCGUUACUGACGCUGAGGCGCGAAAGCGUGGGGAGCAAACAG